AAGUUCUGUUGUUAGGGAAGAACAAGUACCAGAGUAACUGCUGGUACCUUGACGGUACCUAACCAGAAAGCCACGGCUAACUACGUGCCAGCAGCCGCGGUAAUACGUAGGUGGCAAGCGUUGUCCGGAAUUAUUGGGCGUAAAGCGCGCGCAGGUGGUUCCUUAAGUCUGAUGUGAAAGCCCACGGCUCAACCGGGGAGGGUCAUUGGAAACUGGGGAACUUGAGUGCAGAAGAGGAAAGUGGAAUUCCAAGUGUAGCGGUGAAAUGCGUAGAGAUUUGGAGGAACACCAGUGGCGAAGGCGACUUUCUGGUCUGUAACUG
RNAcentral lists this ribosomal RNA (322 nucleotides) under Bacillus sp. mrc49. RNAcentral's name for it is "bacterial SSU rRNA". It matches the Rfam family "Bacterial small subunit ribosomal RNA", at positions 428 to 742 of the family's 1533-position model. The record is from RNAcentral. Lineage: Bacteria; Bacillati; Bacillota; Bacilli; Caryophanales; Bacillaceae.